Molecule: ribosomal RNA, 460 nt
Filed under: uncultured bacterium
Lineage: Bacteria
Description: partial 16S ribosomal RNA
Rfam family: Bacterial small subunit ribosomal RNA
Source: RNAcentral
CCUACGGGUGGCAGCAGUGAGGAAUAUUGGUCAAUGGGCGCGAGCCUGAACCAGCCAAGUCGCGUGAGGGAUGAAGGUUCUAUGGAUCGUAAACCUCUUUUAUAAGGGAAUAAAGUGUGGGACGAGUCAUAUUUUGUAUGUACCUUAUGAAUAAGGGUCGGCUAACUCCGUGCCAGCAGCCGCGGUAAUACGGAGGAUCCGAGCGUUAUGCGGAUUUGUUGGGUUUAAAGGGUGGGUAGGCGGCCGUUUAAGUCAGCGGUGAAAGUCUGUGGCUUAACCACAGAAUUGCCGUUGAAACUGGGGAGCUUGAGUAUGUUUGAGGCAGGCGGAAUGCGUGGUGUAGCGGUGAAAUGCUUAGAUAUCACGCAGAACACCGAUUGCGAAGGCAGCCUGCCAAGCCAUGACUGACGCUGAUGCACGAAAGCGUGGGGAUCAAACAGGAUUAGAUACCCGGGUAGUC